Molecule: long non-coding RNA, 446 nt
Organism: Engraulis encrasicolus (European anchovy)
Lineage: Eukaryota; Metazoa; Chordata; Actinopteri; Clupeiformes; Engraulidae
Exons: 4
Source: RefSeq, a predicted model, not a curated record
UCACAGAAUGUGUGAAACCUGAAGUUAAGAGAUUCAUUUCUGGGUCGUGCUACAACAAGUGAGAAACUAACGGCCGUUUGGCUGUCCAAUCGCGUGACUGUGGACAUUUGAAAGCAGACUUCCGCCCGCCUUUUCUACCGUUGGAAAUGCAAGAUGCGGCGACUUGACUUCAGACACCGAGAGAGGCUGGCGGCCCAGGUCUUGUGGCCACAUCUGUCCAAGCUCCUACUCUGAUUGAACAGUUGGAUGAUCAGACUGAUGAUGAAAAGUGCUACACAGUUCUCACACAUCUUCUGACUCCGAAGCCGCUGCAGUGUAAAAUCUGAGAUGUCUUUUCUGGUUGAUUUUGUGCAGAUUUCUGACAGCGACAGCGAUGGUGAGGGAAGCAGUGUACCGAACUCUCAGAUGACUCGGACCAGGUGACCAAACCCAUGCAAAGCACAAUG